AGCGGCAACAGCUCAAAUUUGAAAGCUGGCCUUCGGGUCCGCAUUGUAAUUUGUAGAGGAUGCUUUGGGGCAGCCGCCUGUCUAAGUUCCUUGGAACAGGACGUCAUAGAGGGUGAGAAUCCCGUAUGUGACAGGACAUGGCACCCUAUGUAAAGCUCCUUCGACGAGUCGAGUUGUUUGGGAAUGCAGCUCUAAAUGGGAGGUAAAUUUCUUCUAAAGCUAAAUAUUGGCGAGAGACCGAUAGCGCACAAGUAGAGUGAUCGAAAGAUGAAAAGCACUUUGGAAAGAGAGUUAAAAAGCACGUGAAAUUGUUGAAAGGGAAGCGCUUGCAAUCAGACUUGUUCAAACCGUUCGGCCGGUCUUCUGACCGGUUUACUCGGUUUGGACAGGCCAGCAUCAGUUUCGGCGGCCGGAUAAAGGCUCUGGGAAUGUGGCCUCCACUUCGGUGGAGGUGUUAUAGCCCGGGGUGUAAUACGGCCAGCCGGGACUGAGGUCCGCGCUUCGGCUAGGAUGCUGGCGUAAUGGUUGUAAGCGACCCGUCUUG
Molecule: ribosomal RNA, 544 nt
Filed under: Aureobasidium tremulum
Lineage: Eukaryota; Fungi; Ascomycota; Dothideomycetes; Dothideales; Saccotheciaceae
Description: partial large subunit ribosomal RNA
Rfam family: Eukaryotic large subunit ribosomal RNA
Source: RNAcentral